ACGAGACUCAUCCGAGGCCUCGUAAUCGGAAUGAGUACACUUUAAAUCCUUUAACAAAAAUCCAUUGGAGGGCAAGUCUGGUGCCAGCAGCCGCGGUAAUUCCAGCUCCAAUAGCGUAUAUUAAAGUUGUUGCGGUUAAAAAGCUCGUAGUCGAAUCUGUGUCCCGCGCUGUCGGUUCACCGCUCGCGGUGUUCAACUGGCAUGUUUUGCGGGACGUCCUACCGGUGGGUCCCCCAAUUGCAAUCCCGUCGCGGUGCACUUAAUUGUGUGUCGAGGUGGGCCGGUACGUUUACUUUGAACAAAUUAGAGUGCUUAAGGCAGGCUCAAAUUUCGCCUGAAUAUUGUGUGCAUGGAAUAAUGGAAUAGGACCUCGGUUCUAUUUUGUUGGUUUUCGGAACUCCGAGGUAAUGAUUAAUACGGACAGAUGGGGGCAUUCGUAUUGCGACGUUAGAGGUGAAAUUCUUGGAUCGUCGCAAGACGGACAGAAGCGAAAGCAUUUGCCAAAAAUGUUUUGAUUGAUCAAGAACGAAAGUUAGAGGUUCGAAGGCGAUCAGAUACCGCCCUAGUUCUAACCAUAAACGAUGCCAGCUAGCGAUCCGCCGAAGUUCCUCCGAUGACUCGGCGGGCAGCUUCCGGGAAACCAAAGCUUUUGGGUUCCGGGGGAAGUAUGGUUGCAAAGCUGAAACUUAAAGGAAUUGACGGAAGGGCACCACCAGGAGUGGAGCCUGCGGCUUAAUUUGACUCAACACGGGAAACCUCAC
RNAcentral lists this ribosomal RNA (761 nucleotides) under Oedosmylus latipennis. Its description in RNAcentral is "SSU rRNA". It matches the Rfam family "Eukaryotic small subunit ribosomal RNA", at positions 485 to 1218 of the family's 1831-position model. The record is from RNAcentral. RNAcentral also lists the same sequence under 1 other name. Lineage: Eukaryota; Metazoa; Arthropoda; Insecta; Neuroptera; Osmylidae.